Pelobates cultripes (western spadefoot toad) is the source of this 205-nucleotide non-coding RNA. The record is from the annotation of a GenBank genome assembly. Lineage: Eukaryota; Metazoa; Chordata; Amphibia; Anura; Pelobatidae.
CCCCAUCUCAAUUGUAUACAGUGAAAUGUGUGUGCAGGGCGCAGGUGCAGGCCAACAGAAGGAAUAUCUCUCUUAUACACAAUAUUCAUAUUAUUAACCUAGUGAUACAAUGUGCCCAUGGCACUUUGCCCUGCUGCCAGUUGUCUUUCCACCCCACUGCCAGACACAGGGCAAUGGAUCCAUUGACAUAACAGCCUGGGUACCG